GUCCGGAAGUGCUUAGUUUUAAGGGUUGGAACAGGCUUGCGCGCCCAAGGGCGCCGAGCUCAGCAGAUCGCUU
RNAcentral lists this small RNA (73 nucleotides) under Sinorhizobium meliloti 2011. RNAcentral describes it as "putative ncRNA". The record is from RNAcentral. Lineage: Bacteria; Pseudomonadati; Pseudomonadota; Alphaproteobacteria; Hyphomicrobiales; Rhizobiaceae.